Long non-coding RNA from Maylandia zebra (zebra mbuna), 1273 nucleotides. RefSeq lists it as uncharacterized. Lineage: Eukaryota; Metazoa; Chordata; Actinopteri; Cichliformes; Cichlidae. The record is from RefSeq and is a predicted model, not a curated record.
GGACUCCACAACACAAAGCUAGAUGUGCCCUCUCAAACUUUUUUUUUUCCUACAACCGACAGCAGCGCGCGCACAGGAAGCCGACUGCCCAGGUGGGAAUUUAAGCAAUUUAACCAGUACAGUGCUUGCUUCUGAUGGAUUAAGAAAAUAAAAAAGAUGUGUAGAAAAAAAAACACACAGAAGAUGUACAGAUUCACCUAUCAAGCCAUUUUUAAGAUGAAAUGAAGGAUUAAGAGACUGUUCACUUUUCUUCUGGAUGAACAUGAAGACUUAUCUCAUGAGGAUUUAGACUUCAGCAGCAGCAGCGCCAGUCGGAUUGUGUUUUAGGCACACUUGGAAAUCUAAACCUCAUGGAGAUACUUUGAGGAUUAUAAAAGAUGUGCAUGUAGAAUGCCACCAUACAAGACGCGUCCUGGGCCAAAGUCCUUGGGAUAGCAGGAUAUUGCUUUCCUGAUCCUUCUCAGCCCCCAGAAUGGGGAGUGUGGGAGUGGUGAGGUCUGGGAGAUCACGACCUUAAUUCUCUCCAAGACAGACGGUUUAAUUAACACUGGAAGAAUCCUCACUGACUCCAGACCUCUACAGUGAGAAUGUACAGGGGAAUUGGCUUGCCAAGGUCCUCUUGGCCAUAGACUGAAAUGCUGACAGACGAUGCCCAUGAAUGAUGAAUGAUGACUGGAGGUCUGUCUGGUGCCAGCAGAAUGCAUAAUACAGCAUCGAUACAGCAAUCGCAGUCCUCCUCAGCAGAAACAUGGUGCAGUUUCUUUAUCACAUUAUUGGAAGAUUUGCCCCAAGCAGGACAGCAGGACCACUCAAAGUGGAAAUCAACCGCAAUGUUGAAUGUUGUUUCGGUUGGAGUCCUAAAUGAAGCAGCAUUACAAAGAGUUUUCUGGUGUGUCAGAGUGAGGCUCAGUGGGAAAGAUUGCUGUGUCUAGACAGGAGUGUGAGGUGCAGAUCUACACAGAAGCUUACAGGAAACUGAAGAAGACGGGUGAGGUUAAAGAGGACAGCACGAUGGAAAAAACAAGAAUGAAAGCAGCCAGUGAUAAAUAUUAACUUUUGUGAAACAUUUUGAGCAUUUGCAUCACUAAAAGUCCUCAUAUAUAGCUGUUUGUCAUCGCCUUAAACUGCUAGAAUUUGAUUUUAAAAAUACGGGUAUCAUGUAGCGGUUCAAGUUAGAAGCUGGGAAUAUGCAAUCACAUCUGUAAGAGUUACAUUUCGCAGCUCAUUGUAUCUCUGACUGCAAAAUAAAGUUUGAUAACAAUCUGUUUUUGUG